Corythoichthys intestinalis (scribbled pipefish) is the source of this 852-nucleotide long non-coding RNA. RefSeq lists it as uncharacterized. Lineage: Eukaryota; Metazoa; Chordata; Actinopteri; Syngnathiformes; Syngnathidae. The transcript has 3 exons. The record is from RefSeq and is a predicted model, not a curated record.
CUCUGAAUGCGGAAAUAUAGCACCAUGCUAUCCUCGCCAAAUAUUGCAAACAUUUUCUGGGUUUUACUCGGGAUUCGUCAUGCCAUCUCGAUGUGUAGCGAUGAAUUACUCACAGGAAGAUUCGAGACUCUAGGAGUGGUCCCAAAAAAACGUCUCCUGCAAAGCCACGACAGCUUUGAAAACCUACAAUACAACCUUGGUUUUACAAAGACGAAGCCAAACAUAAAAAAUGAAGUGGCGGAAACCCUCAACACAAUGAAAAAAGCGUUGCACGUCAGUUGCCACCCAGUUUCCCAAAAUCAAGAGAGAGUGGGUCGAGUCAUAUGAUGACCCAAGUGAUGCGGUGUCCAGCGAUGACGACUGAAGAGAUCCUAUGAGGCCUGCCAGAUGCUGAAUUUCUUCCGUCUGCGACAUCAGAUGACGAUGAUUUAGGAGAAAUAAAUGUAGCAAAUUUUGAUGACAUGAAAUCAUAAACUAGUCAUAUAUACAGUACACAUUUUUUAAAAGAAAAAUCUAGUUACCUUUAUAUUUUAAUGAUAAUGCAUUAUCUUUGUAUAGAGAACACUUCAUGCUACAGAAAAGAGUAAAUACAUAUUUCCCACUGCCAUUAUCAUUUUUAAAUGUUGCGCUAGUCCGUUGCUAUCCUAACUUUGUGUUCCUUACUAAAAUUAUGCUCUUUGAUGUGUGCCAUUGUGUGCUUGGUAUAACAUGUUGUGUCACAAUCUGACAACGAAAGCUAAUGCUGAUUCAACAUAAAUCUAUCAUUUAUUAUUGUGGCCUAUUGAAUAUUUUUUCAGAAUGUAAUAUAAUUACAAUAUAUUAUAUACCAAUAGAAUACAUUAAACAGUCAAC